AACGGUCUAUACCUGCGGUACCUGCGGAGGGAUCAUUAAAGAGAAAACUGCCCUUUGGGUAGAUCUCCCACCCUUUGUUUACCUUACCUUUGUUGCUUUGGCAGGCCCGUCUUCUGACCACCGGCUUUAGCUGGUCCGUGCCUGCCAGAGGACCCCAAACUCUUAAUUUUAAGUUGUCCGAGUCUUAUAAAAUAGUAAAAACUUUCAACAAUGGAUCUCU
This 220-nucleotide unclassified non-coding RNA is filed under the name soil metagenome. RNAcentral describes it as "partial contains 5.8S ribosomal RNA, internal transcribed spacer 2, and large subunit ribosomal RNA". The record is from RNAcentral.